This 1419-nucleotide long non-coding RNA is filed under the name Ornithorhynchus anatinus (platypus). Its description in RNAcentral is "lncRNA (ENSOANG00000037762.1)". Lineage: Eukaryota; Metazoa; Chordata; Mammalia; Monotremata; Ornithorhynchidae. The record is from RNAcentral.
GCCGCUGACCCUCUGCGACCCUCGGCCCGGGCCCGCCCCCGCUCUUCCCUUCCCAUCGCCUCUCUUUUAAUGAAAUGAAGAAGAGGGAAUGCUGGUUGGGCUGCAACGCCUUCCGCUCGGCACACAGGGCGGUGACAGAGACGCCCAACUGGCAGUGGCCUUGUCAGCACAUCAGUUAGGGGGGUUCCUUCCCAUGCCAUGGAUAAGCUGAUUAGACCACACAUCUUGGGAGAACUAAGGUUGAAGGUUGCCUGGCCGACAGGAGGAAAGGGCUGUGCCCCCACCACAUCAUUUGGCCUGGAGACCCCUAAACUGCAGUAUAUCCCCCAGUGGCUGAAGCGGGGAUCUGGACUGAGAAACUCAGAACUCCUUGGCAUCAUCAGAAGUUGUCUUCAACCCAAAAGAAAUCAAAGGUUUACAGUUCCUGAGUCGUCCGGGGCUCUUCCUUCCAACCAGUCAGCCAAGAAAAAAGGCCAAGAUGAAAGGCAGAAAAGUUCCACUCCCUAUGCUAAAGGUAAGUAAUUUCUAAGUCUUUAAGCAGAGGUCAGAUCCCCUACUCUCACUGGGCACCCUGCCAACACUAAAAAAAGGGCAUGUCAGCCUCUGAAAUCUACCCCGGAACAAGAGUAAUGUAGUGACUUGAAAUAAAAGCUUUUUUUUUUUCCAUUACUUGAGUUAGGAAAGAUGGAUGGUCUUUUCUUUCUCAGGUAGUCUCAUGCUGUAGCCUUUCUGUACCUGGACUCAGGUUGACCCUGAAUGAGGCUGUCCCAUUUAAAAGGCCCUUAACAAUCUAGCUCAACAAUUAUAAAUAGUAUACCUUUCAGGGAUGAAUUUCUUAACUGCGCAGAUCUUUCUAGAGUCAACCAGUAAUGGGGCCUUUCUCAAGAAGUAAGCCUCGUGGAUGGAAUCUGAUAGUUGAGGAUUUGUGAUAAAAAGGCAAGAUCACUGAAAUCCCCCAACUUUUUCUGAAUAGGCCUCUGAUCUCCAGAGUUCCAAUUUAGUCUUACCUGUUCUGUGUGUUAUGUUAUGAAAAUUUACUUUAGCUUUCAAUUCCCUAUCCUGCUGGGAAAGAUUGUUGGCAAGUAAAAAACGUUGCAGAUGAAAAGGAUUUUCUUUGUCCUGAGAAACUCACAUUAUUUAUAAGGGCAACAACCGAAAACAUUUUCCCCACUGGAGGAACUCAGUGUCACAUUAAUGUAGCAGCAAAGGAAUCCUGGCGUCGAAUUAGGGAAGUGAAGUCAGUAAUAAUUGUGGUAUUGGUUAAGCACUUAAUAUGGGCCAAGCAAUAUUCUCAGUGCCAGGGUAGAGUCAAGAUAAUCAGGUAGGUCACAGUCCUUGUCCCGACUGGGGCUCACAGUCUAAGUAGGAGAAGUAAUGGUAUUUAAUUCCCAUUUCAUAGGGAAGGAAACUGAGGUAUAG